Arabidopsis thaliana (thale cress) is the source of this 842-nucleotide RNA transcript. RefSeq lists it as uncharacterized. The transcript has 2 exons. NCBI's taxonomy places the organism in Eukaryota, Viridiplantae, Streptophyta, Magnoliopsida, Brassicales, Brassicaceae. The record is from RefSeq.
CUUUGAAUCCCUUAAAGAUGACAACAUCUUAUCAACAAGACGGCCUCUUCCUUCUCACCCAGACUCUUAUCUCUAGUAACAACUAAUUUGGGAUUAUUUUGGAAACUACACUUAAAAGCUGAUCAUAAUUUCAUAAGACCCAUAAUUGCAAAAUCAAAUUCGACCACCGACGAAUUGCAUUAUUGAUUUCUUUGAGGGAGAGUGAAGAUCAUGGCUUGCUUAGAUUGUUGCAUCUUAUCUAUAACAAUGGUGAUAGUGGAGGCAAAGGAGAGAGAAAAGGGGUAAAAUGGUCACUCAAAUGAGAGAAGUACCUAAUCUUAUGAGAAUAUUGAAAAAUGGUAUGGGAGCAAAUGACACAAGGUUUUUUGUGCUUUAUCAAUAAUUGAUCCCUAUUAAGUUACAGUCCACCUUUUCUGAAGCUUCUGAUUUCGCCAACAAUCAGCGGAGGUGUAUUGGCGACGGAAGCAAUGUUGUUAAUUUUCGGAAAUGACGUCUAGGGUUUGUGAUUAAAAUGAAUUGGGGGUUUCAAUUUAUAGAGGCAAGAGUUCAGAUUUUUUUGGAGUUACAUCAAUUUCCAGUACGUGCAGCAAAACAAUAUGCGAUUGAGACUUUCAAUGACUAUUCUAUUUACAAGUUUCAUCUCAUAUAUUCAUACAACUUGUUAUUUGUGUUCCCUAUCAUCCUUAGGGUUUAGUUUUCUGUACUUAUAAACAAUUUGCUAUUUCUCCAAACAAAGUGAAGCUCGAAAGCGAAAUGACUUUUUUUUUGCUGAUGCUACUGAAAAUUGUUUGGGUGAAAACAACGUCACGUAACCCAGCCGUAUUCAAUUCUUCUCAUGCUUC